This 85-nucleotide transfer RNA is filed under the name Felis catus (domestic cat). It matches the Rfam family "tRNA". Rfam says of the family: Transfer RNA (tRNA) molecules are approximately 80 nucleotides in length. The record is from Rfam by way of RNAcentral. Lineage: Eukaryota; Metazoa; Chordata; Mammalia; Carnivora; Felidae.
GCCGGAGUGGCUCAGUCGGUUAAGCAUCUGACUUCGGCUCAGGUCAUGAUCUCGUGGUCCGUGGGUUCGAGCCCCACGUCAGGCU